RNAcentral lists this long non-coding RNA (207 nucleotides) under Lathyrus oleraceus (garden pea). RNAcentral's name for it is "Pisum sativum (pea) long non-coding RNA (PSAT_LNC032359)". The record is from RNAcentral. Lineage: Eukaryota; Viridiplantae; Streptophyta; Magnoliopsida; Fabales; Fabaceae.
ACAGAUUAUAAGGAAGCAAUGUGAGUUGCAAAUGAGCGUGGAGAGAUUUGAACAAUUUAUGGUCUCACAUAUGAAUCACGAUUUCGAAGGAGGAGAUGAAGAGGACGAGGAAGAAGAUAAUUAAAUUUGUUGAAAUAUGAAACUUUUAAUAUGUAUUUUUAAAUUUUAUUUUUAUUUCAUCUUUAAUCAUGAAUUAUUUUUAUUUUG